RNAcentral lists this transfer RNA (73 nucleotides) under Acidilobus sp. SCGC AC-742_E15. It matches the Rfam family "tRNA". Rfam says of the family: Transfer RNA (tRNA) molecules are approximately 80 nucleotides in length. Their secondary structure includes four short double-helical elements and three loops (D, anti-codon, and T loops). Further hydrogen bonds mediate the characteristic L-shaped molecular structure. tRNAs have two regions of fundamental functional importance: the anti-codon, which is responsible for specific mRNA codon recognition, and the 3' end, to which the tRNAs corresponding amino acid is attached (by aminoacyl-tRNA synthetases). tRNAs cope with the degeneracy of the genetic code in two manners: having more than one tRNA (with a specific anti-codon) for a particular amino acid; and 'wobble' base-pairing, i.e. permitting non-standard base-pairing at the 3rd anti-codon position. The record is from Rfam by way of RNAcentral. Lineage: Archaea; Thermoproteati; Thermoproteota; Thermoprotei; Acidilobales; Acidilobaceae. RNAcentral also lists the same sequence under 1 other name.
GCCGGGGUAGCUCAGCUGGUAGAGCGCCCGGCUGUUAACCGGGCGGUCGUGGGUUCGAAUCCCACCCCCGGCG